GACGAACGCUGGCGGCGUGCUUAACACAUGCAAGUCGAACGGAAAGGCCUGCUUUCCCUUGUGGAUUGCGGGUACUCGCGUGGCGAACGGGUGAGUAACACGUGAGUGAUCUGCCCCCAACUUGGGUAUAAGCCUGGGAAACUGGGUCUAAUUCCCGAUAGGACUGCAGGGUGGUGCCUGUGGUGGAAAACGAUUUUCUAGUGGUUGGGGAUGAGCUCGCGGCCUAUCAGCUUGUUGGUGGGGUAAUGGCCUACCAAGGCGGCGACGGGUAGCCGGCCUGAGAGGGUGGACGGCCACAUUGGGACUGAGAUACGGCCCAGACUCCUACGGGAGGCAGCAGUGGGGAAUAUUGCACAAUGGGCGGAAGCCUGAUGCAGCGACGCCGCGUGGGGGAUGACGGCCUUCGGGUGGUAAACUCCUUUCGACCGCGAGGAAGCCACCUGGUUGGAAGGGUGGUGACGGUAGUGGUAGAAGAAGCACCGGCUAACUACGUG
RNAcentral lists this ribosomal RNA (494 nucleotides) under uncultured bacterium. RNAcentral describes it as "partial 16S ribosomal RNA". It matches the Rfam family "Bacterial small subunit ribosomal RNA", at positions 28 to 507 of the family's 1533-position model. The record is from RNAcentral.